CCCGGCUCGGCGCAGAGCGUCCUGGGAAGUGUAGUUCCCUCACUUCGCUCCGGACAAGGACAGCACUUAAGUUCUCUGUGCGGCGCGGCCGCGCCGCCGCACUCGGCCCGCAACUCCAGCCUUAGCUGGCCGGGGCAGGGCGACGCCCUCUCAGGAGGGUCUCGGGAGAAGUGCCGAACCCGGGAGGGGCUGGGACUACAUUUCCCAGGAUGCCGUGCGCGGGGGUUCGCUCGGCACUUAAGAGACCCGGGAUUGAGAUCCUCCCUGUCAAUUAGAGGCGGGUGCUGGGGUUCUAUAAGCAGACUGGAAAAAGAGAAUCACCUGGAGGACAACAGAGUUCCAGAGCUGCAGAAGAGGAACUCGGAUUAUAGACAUGAAAAACUCAGCACAUCAGUCACUCCUUUGAGUAGGAAUACAGGUGGCCCCUGGCAGCCAGCCAGCAAGGAAAAAGGACCCUCAGUCCUAUAGCUUCAAGGAACUAAAUACUGCCAACAAUCUGAGUGAGCCUGGAAAUGGAUUCUUACCCAGAGACUUCCGAUAAGCCUCCAACCCACCUGACACCUUGAUUUAGGUCUUGUAAAACCUGAACAGGGAAUGCAGGUGAGCCCACCCAUCCCUGGGAA
Molecule: non-coding RNA, 623 nt
Organism: Manis javanica (Malayan pangolin)
Lineage: Eukaryota; Metazoa; Chordata; Mammalia; Pholidota; Manidae
Source: RefSeq, a predicted model, not a curated record